This 473-nucleotide ribosomal RNA is filed under the name uncultured bacterium. Its description in RNAcentral is "bacterial SSU rRNA". It matches the Rfam family "Bacterial small subunit ribosomal RNA", at positions 335 to 801 of the family's 1533-position model. The record is from RNAcentral.
ACUCCUACGGGAGGCAGCAGUAGGGAAUCUUCCACAAUGGGCGCAAGCCUGAUGGAGCAACACCGCGUGAGUGAAGAGGGGUUUCGGCUCGUAAAGCUCUGUUGUUAAAGAAGAACACGUAUGAGAGUAACUGUUCAUACGUUGACGGUAUUUAACCAGAAAGUCACGGCUAACUACGUGCCAGCAGCCGCGGUAAUACGUAGGUGGCAAGCGUUAUCCGGAUUUAUUGGGCGUAAAGAGAGUGCAGGCGGUUUUCUAAGUCUGAUGUGAAAGCCUUCGGCUUAACCGGAGAAGUGCAUCGGAAACUGGAUAACUUGAGUGCAGAAGAGGGUAGUGGAACUCCAUGUGUAGCGGUGGAAUGCGUAGAUAUAUGGAAGAACACCAGUGGCGAAGGCGGCUACCUGGUCUGCAACUGACGCUGAGACUCGAAAGCAUGGGUAGCGAACAGGAUUAGAUACCCUGGUAGGAUAGCG